UACGUAGGGUGCGAGCGUUGUCCGGAAUUAUUGGGCGUAAAGAGCUCGUAGGCGGUGUGUCGCGUCGGCCGUGAAAACCUGCAGCUUAACUGUGGGCUUGCGGUCGAUACGGGCAUCACUGGAGUUCGGCAGGGGAGACUGGAAUUCCUGGUGUAGCGGUGAAAUGCGCAGAUAUCAGGAGGAACACCAAUGGCGAAGGCAGCUCGCUGGAACGGUACUGACGCUGAGGCGCGAAAGCGUGGGGAGCGAACAGG
Molecule: ribosomal RNA, 254 nt
Filed under: uncultured bacterium
Lineage: Bacteria
Description: partial 16S ribosomal RNA
Rfam family: Bacterial small subunit ribosomal RNA
Source: RNAcentral